UACGUAGGGCGCAAGCGUUUAUCCGGAAUUAUUGGGCGUAAAGAGCUCGUAGGCGGUUCAGCAAGUCGGGUGUGAAACCUCCAGGCUCAACCUGGAGACGCCACCCGAUACUGCUGUGACUUGAGUCCGGUAGGGGACCACGGGAAUUCCUGGUGUAGCGGUGAAAUGACGCAGAUAUCAGGAGGAACACCGGUGGCGAAGGCGGUGGUCUGGGCCGGAACUGACGCUGAGGAGCGAAAGCGUGGGGAGCGAACAGG
Molecule: ribosomal RNA, 257 nt
Filed under: uncultured bacterium
Lineage: Bacteria
Description: partial 16S ribosomal RNA
Rfam family: Bacterial small subunit ribosomal RNA
Source: RNAcentral